GCCGAAGUGGUGGAACUGGUAGACACGCCAUCUUGAGGGGGUGGUGAGCCAUGCUCGUGGGGGUUCGAGUCCCCCCUUCGGCACCA
This 86-nucleotide transfer RNA is filed under the name Desulfolutivibrio sulfodismutans. RNAcentral describes it as "tRNA-Leu". It matches the Rfam family "tRNA". Rfam says of the family: Transfer RNA (tRNA) molecules are approximately 80 nucleotides in length. Their secondary structure includes four short double-helical elements and three loops (D, anti-codon, and T loops). RNAcentral also lists the same sequence under 3 other names. The record is from RNAcentral. Lineage: Bacteria; Pseudomonadati; Thermodesulfobacteriota; Desulfovibrionia; Desulfovibrionales; Desulfovibrionaceae.